UGCUGGAGGUAUCAGAAGUGCGAAUGCUGACAUAAGUAACGAUAAAGCGGGUGAAAAGCCCGCUCGCCGGAAGACCAAGGGUUCCUGUCCAACGUUAAUCGGGGCAGGGUGAGUCGACCCCUAAGGCGAGGCCGAAAGGCGUAGUCGAUGGGAAACAGGUUAAUAUUCCUGUACUUGGUGUUACUGCGAAGGGGGGACGGAGAAGGCUAUGUUGGCCGGGCGACGGUUGUCCCGGUUUAAGCGUGUAGGCUGGUUUUCCAGGCAAAUCCGGAAAACCAAGGCUGAGGCGUGAUGACGAGGCACUACGGUGCUGAAGCGACAAAUGCCCUGCUUCCAGGAAAAGCCUCUAAGCAUCAGGUAACAUCAAAUCGUACCCCAAACCGACACAGGUGGUCAGGUAGAGAAUACCAAGGCGCUUGAGAGAACUCGGGUGAAGGAACUAGGCAAAAUGGUGCCGUAACUUCGGGAGAAGGCACGCUGAUAUGUAGGUGAAGCGACUUGCUCGUGGAGCUGAAAUCAGUCGAAGAUACCAGCUGGCUGCAACUGUUUAUUAAAAACACAGCACUGUGCAAACACGAAAGUGGACGUAUACGGUGUGACGCCUGCCCGGUGCCGGAAGGUUAAUUGAUGGGGUUAGCGGCAACGCGAAGCUCUUGAUCGAAGCCCCGGUAAACGGCGGCCGUAACUAUAACGGUCCUAAGGUAGCGAAAUUCCUUGUCGGGUAAGUUCCGACCUGCACGAAUGGCGUAAUGAUGGCCAGGCUGUCUCCACCCGAGACUCAGUGAAAUUGAACUCGCUGUGAAGAUGCAGUGUACCCGCGGCAAGACGGAAAGACCCCGUGAACCUUUACUAUAGCUUGACACUGAACAUUGAGCCUUGAUGUGUAGGAUAGGUGGGAGGCUUUGAAGUGUGGACGCCAGUCUGCAUGGAGCCGACCUUGAAAUACCACCCUUUAAUGUUUGAUGUUCUAACGUUGGCCCGUAAUCCGGGUUGCGGACAGUGUCUGGUGGGUAGUUUGACUGGGGCGGUCUCCUCCUAAAGAGUAACGGAGGAGCACGAAGGUUGGCUAAUCCUGGUCGGACAUCAGGAGGUUAGUGCAAUGGCAUAAGCCAGCUUGACUGCGAGCGUGACGGCGCGAGCAGGUGCGAAAGCAGGUCAUAGUGAUCCGGUGGUUCUGAAUGGAAGGGCCAUCGCUCAACGGAUAAAAGGUACUCCGGGGAUAACAGGCUGAUACCGCCCAAGAGUUCAUAUCGACGGCGGUGUUUGGCACCUCGAUGUCGGCUCAUCACAUCCUGGGGCUGAAGUAGGUCCCAAGGGUAUGGCUGUUCGCCAUUUAAAGUGGUACGCGAGCUGGGUUUAGAACGUCGUGAGACAGUUCGGUCCCUAUCUGCCGUGGGCGCUGGAGAACUGAGGGGGGCUGCUCCUAGUACGAGAGGACCGGAGUGGACGCAUCACUGGUGUUCGGGUUGUCAUGCCAAUGGCACUGCCCGGUAGCUAAAUGCGGAAGAGAUAAGUGCUGAAAGCAUCUAAGCACGAAACUUGCCCCGAGAUGAGUUCUCCCUGACUCCUUGAGAGUCCUGAAGGAACGUUGAAGACGACGACGUUGAUAGGCCGGGUGUGUAAGCGCAGCGAUGCGUUGAGCUAACCGGUACUAAUGAACCGUGAGGCUUAACCUU
RNAcentral lists this ribosomal RNA (1676 nucleotides) under Escherichia coli. Its description in RNAcentral is "partial 23S ribosomal RNA". It matches the Rfam family "Bacterial large subunit ribosomal RNA", at positions 1271 to 2925 of the family's 2925-position model. Lineage: Bacteria; Pseudomonadati; Pseudomonadota; Gammaproteobacteria; Enterobacterales; Enterobacteriaceae. RNAcentral also lists the same sequence under 1 other name. The record is from RNAcentral.